This 26062-nucleotide long non-coding RNA is filed under the name Glycine max (soybean). RNAcentral's name for it is "long non-coding RNA (GMAX_LNC000509)". Lineage: Eukaryota; Viridiplantae; Streptophyta; Magnoliopsida; Fabales; Fabaceae. The record is from RNAcentral.
CUUGAUUGCUUUCAGCAUUUCGGGCUCUGACAAGUUGAAGUCGUUGCCUGAUGAGAUGAGUAGUCUUCUCCCAAAGUUAGAAGAUCUCGGCAUAUUCAACUGCCCAGAAAUUGAGUCCUUUCCAAAACGGGGUAUGCCACCUAACCUGAGAACAGUUUGGAUUGAGAAUUGUGAGAAACUACUGAGCGGCCUAGCAUGGCCAUCCAUGGGCAUGCUUACUCAUCUCACUGUUGGGGGUCGAUGUGAUGGCAUCAAGUCCUUCCCUAAGGAGGGUUUGCUGCCUCCCUCCCUUACGUGUCUGUUUCUAUAUGGAUUCUCAAAUCUGGAGAUGUUGGACUGCACGGGGCUUCUCCAUCUCACAUCCCUGCAAAUAUUAUACAUAGGCAAUUGUCCUUUGCUGGAGAAUAUGGCUGGAGAAAGUCUUCCUGUCUCUCUAAUAAAAUUAACCAUAUUGGAAUGUCCUUUGCUGGAAAAACAAUGCCGCAUGAAGCACCCUCAAAUUUGGCCUAAAAUUUGCCACAUCCCUGGCAUUCAGGUUGACGAUAGAUGGAUUUAGCCACCAAGGAUGACCAACAGGUAUCUUCUAAGUCUAACCAACUAGAAAACUAGUUCUGUCAAGGAUGUUUCAUUUCAUGUCUUUCUCCUUUUACGUUUUACUAAAUCCAAUUGAUUCUGAAAUGGAAAUUGACCUUGUAUAUAUGUUACUGAAUCUACAGAGAAUCAACAAAUUAUCAAAGGCAACUUGUGAUAUCAUCUAAAUCAAAUUCACUGAAGAGUGCCGCUUAACCCCUAGCUUCGAAGAAGUAACGAUACAGGUACUAAGUAACAACAUUGAUAAAUACUUAAAUAUAAUGAUACAGGUACUAAGUAACAACAUUGAUAAACUUAUUUUUGUUUUUCAGAUAUGGUUGAUUGGUCCGAAGAAACUGUACCUACCCAUGAAUCUAAGUUUAAAUUUGAACUAGUGCUAAAUGUAACUUUUGAUUUAAUUGAUGUGAAAUUGACACUUUCUCAAUAGCUGAAUUUUUAUUUGUGAGGUUUUUCGUUGGGUACAAUGUGAAGGAUGAAAAGGUGUACCAAGUGAACUUUUGAAGGAUGGGAUGAUUUCAGCUUAUCUCUUAUCCCAUGUCUUAUAAAUUAAUAGUGGUAUGAUUAUUCUAAAAAUAUGAUAGAUAUGUAGAUAUGUAAGAAUUGAUAAAAGCAUAAUAAAUAUACAAUUGCAAUUCGGUAAAUUGAAGAACAUACAUACUUCUUAGACAUUACUAAAAACAAAAUCAAAAAAUUUUAGAUCAUCUUUUCCUAUUGUUCACAAAUAAGAAUGGUACUAUCAAUGAUCAAUCUCAUUUCUUUCUUGAAAUUAUCUAUAAACAAAACAAUUUUCAAAUUUGGUUCAUCAAGAAACAAUAUUUUUUAUAUUUCUAUAUUAUACUUACUUCUAUGUUACAUGUCACUAUAUUUAAUUUUCAUAAUUUUUUUAAAGAUUUGGUCACUUCACAUAUAUGUACCAGUGAAAUAUAUCAAUAUAUUGGUAUCAGAUAUAGAUGCAUGAAGCAAAUUAAAGUAUGAGUACUAUGUAACAAAACACAUUCUUCAAAACAUGAUAUGAGGUAAAAAAAUAAGAUGAUAUUUUUUUAAGUAUUGGAAAAAAAAGUAAAGCUUCUGAAAUCAAAGAGACACUAAAUUUUCCACAACAUCCUUCAGGCCCAAUCUUCCUUUCCUAUUGACAAAUAACUGGUUGUUAGUGUCAGCAUUUUCUUUUUUUCCAGUUUUCCAUUGAUGGUUAAAACCUAAUAUGAAUCUGUCACUCCUUAAAAUUUCCACCAAAGUUUGGUAAAUAAAUAUAUAGGAGAGUGAAUAAUACAAGCCUUGCAUUCUAUCUCUAAGUUACUAGGUAUAUGAAACAGGUAUGGGUAUUUGGUUUUAGAAGGUAUAUGGUUCAUCACUGUUUAUAUUAUUACUACAAGAACCAGGUACACUUUAUUAUGGUACAGUAAAUUUGGUGUGAGGUUGUAACUACGUUAUAUCCAUCUCACUUAGCACGAUAAUUAAAUUUAAAAGCAAAAAGAUGAGAAAAAUGUCAAUUUAACAAUUGUUACCAGAGAUUAUUGCUACCUCUCUUGCAUGACAAGCCCAAUCAGCACCCAACAAAAUCAGAAACAAAAGCCCCACUCUUUACUCCAUGGUGCCUGUAAUUAACAAGCACUUCAAAAACCAAUGUUAAUUAAUUAAUUCCCAUCAGAAAAAAAGGUAGAAGCCAAUGAAAUUUAGGGGUACAACAAAGAUUCGUAGAACCAUGAUUAAUAUCAAUGCAACGCACCAUGAUGAAGUGCAUGACAUAAUAAUAAUUUGGAACCAAUCAUGAGAAUAACAGAAAAUAAAUCAGUGCAAUUGCAUGAUCAGAAAACAAAGAGACAAUAUAUUAUGUUCAUAUUAGAAAAUAGGGCAACUUGUUAAAGAGAUGUCUCAGGUGGAACAAUGAGGGGAAGGAGAAGAGAAGGAUGAUAAAGGAUGCGGUUAUGACUUCCACAAAGUCGAAUUAUUUACUUUUUUAAUUAUUUAUAUUUUUCUUUUCACUUUCCUAAAAGCCGUCCAAUUAAGAGGAGUCUAUGGAGUAGAUUAGAUUAGUUUUGAAAAAGAGUAAUAUCAUCUUAUACAAUUUUUGGUUUUCUUAAUUAAUUGUUCAAUUGAUGUAGUUUAAAAUUUAAAUAUGAUUUAAUCUGUCUAGAUUGAUCUCAAUUUUAAGUUUUAAUUUUAUUUCUAUUUUUUCAAAAAAAUAAAUAUUUAAGAUAUAUAAUAAUUUUGAUACAAAUAAAUUUAAAAUAUUUCACCAAAAAAAAGUAAUUUAAAAUAUCACAUAUAUAUAUAUAAAUCAUUUUAAAGCUAAUAGUAAUAUUUUCUAAACAAUAUCUAAAAGUAUAUCUCUGUUAUACAAGUUGAUAAUUAUAUUUAUAUAUACUUGAAUAUUUACUGAAUAUUAUAUUUAAUUCAAUUUAUUUUUCAUAAAUAAUUUUAAGCAAUGUAAUAAUUUAUAUAUAUAUAUAUAUAUAUAUAUAUAUAUAAAAGAAAUAAAAAUAUAAAACAUCGAUGAUAUCAUACAAAUUUUGGUAAUAAUAAUUUUUAAAAAAAUCUGUGAAUUAACUAACAGUGUAUUACAUGGGUAAUUAUAUGUUCAAAAGAUUUUGAAGGACAAAUUAUCUUUUCUGAAAAAAAAAUCCAGCUCGUCCAACGCUAUAAGCAUUUUUAAACAAAGUACCCAAAAUAUGGAUUUACAUUUUUUUUAAAAAAGUGUGUAAACACUAGCUUUUUACAAAUUGCGUCCAGCAUGCCUUUCAGAAUAUUCUCUUUAAAGUUGAACAUCUCUUUAUGCUUAUUGCUUUAACUAUACUGAAAAUAUGUUUUACCCAAUUCAAUCUUGAAUACAAGAAAAAGAAAAAAUCUUAUAUACUAGUAUUAAAUAUAAAUAAAUUUUAAUUAAUUUUACACUAUUUAAUUUAAUACUAUCAUCUCUAAAAUAUCCCUUAACUAAUUUAAUAUAUCUAAACAUAAGUACUCUUAAGACUAUAAAAAACAUAUCAACAUAUUUACCAUUUUCAUUUUCAUAAAUUUGAAAAAUGAUUGAAUAUCGAUUUUAAAUAUUUCACAUAUCUUAUACGGGAACUGUCCUAAUCAAAUCGGUUAAAAUAAUGUUUUUAAUAUUUAAUACAAAUGCAUAUCUAUUACUCAAACUUGAGAAUACCGAGUUUUUUUCUUAGUUUAGUUGGAUAUUACUCAUUUAACCAAUUUUUUUAUAGUUAAUUUUAAAUUUAAACAUUUCUUUUUAUUUUUCAAGUUUGUUAAUAAAAGGAAUGCAUUAAAAUAUUUCAAAAUUCUCUCAAAAUAAAUAGGCACUAAAUGUCCACAUUGGGAGAGCAUUGAAUAUUUCUUCAAUUAAAAUAGAAAUUAGUAGAAAAGUAACCUCGAACCUAAUUCUUCAUGAAAAGUUUCAAGGCACAUGCAUAGGGCUAAAGUAAAAUGGUUUGCUGCAAUUUUAUCCCCACGUUCAAGUUGUUAUAUGCUGUACUCUGGUCAACAUUUUCACCUCAUUUGAUGCAAUUCACAAUACCAAAAUUCGAUCAGACAGCUUUGGUCUUUUUUGGAUUCAAUCUUAGAAUUCAUGUGCAUAAAAUAAAGUUACCAUUGAAAGUAAUCCCAGCCUUUAACACUUACCAUAUACCAAGGAGAUUUUACCAUGUAUCAAACCAACUAAGGUAAAGCCAACGUGCCAAUAUAUGUAUAAACAUUGAAAGAAUAGAACAACCUCAUAUGCAUAUGAGAAUUAUAACAUCAGCUUACAAGUGUCAAAUUCACAUAAAUCACCUCUACAAGUAGCAUGACAAGUCACAAUUGACGAACAAACUUUAGUUAAUAUACAAGCAAGGUAAAUUAAACAACAAACAAGAAAUUUAGUCGAGCACAAUAAGAGGAUGAGAUGAGAACAGAUAAAAAGAUGCAAUAUAAUCUCAUUGUUUUGUCAGCACAAAAGCAAGCCAUUAUGCACCUCAAGUUCAGUGUUGGCUUCUUCUUCUUUUGUUGUUUUGUCAAUAGAAGGGAGAAUCGGCCAAAUCCAAAUUUCUUUCUCUUUGCAGAAAACAGCUUCUGAUCAUUUUCCUUCUCAGCUUGUUUGUCAAAGGAUGGAUCCGCGUUUUGUUUGCCUAGCAUCUGGCCAAGAGACACCUUGAUUCGCACAGCCUCUACCCUUUCAAGAGCUUCCUCAAGGGCCUUCUUGCUGGUUUUAACUUCUUCUGAGGCUUCCUCUACCUUUCUCAAAAUGUCCAUUUUAGAUACAUUUGCUUCAUCAACUAGAUGCAUAGCAUCUACAACCGUUGGAUCAUCGUGAAAUUUGACGAUCUUGGACUCAGUAACCGUUGGAUCAUCGUGAAAUUUGAGCACCACGUUCGCAACCCAAUUCUGAGCAUUCCCACCGUUGGGAAUUUUGAUAUUAUCUCUGAUCUAAGAGAAAUACCCCUCGCAUUGUAACAUUUUCCUUUCCCGCAGAAAUCCAGAGCUGUCUCGGUAAAACUAAGAUCUCGGUUUCGUUAACCGUUGGAUUUUCAUGAAAUUUGGAUAUGUUGUUUGAAAUUCAAUUUCUCACGCUUUCACCGUUGUGAUUUGCAAGAUAAUAUUUGUGGAGGGAGAAAAAUAAAUCACAUGAUGACAGUACAAGUGGAGGCUUCAAUCCCUUUUUUGUCUCUUUGACGUUUGGGAACUCUAUCGGAACAGUUAGAGGAAAAAAAUAGGAGGAAUCUUAGGGAACCGUUAGAGAUGCUGUUAUCGCUGGCUGAAGACACGUGAGCCCACUUAUAGAUAAGGGAUGAGUUAUUCACAAUUAUGAACUAGUUAGAACAUGUGUAGGGAUCCUUAGAAAUACCAAUUGAAAUGAGUUUUUGAGUGUUUUUGCAAUUUCAUUUUAUCCUUAUAAUUAUUAUAGUGAAUUAUAUAUGUUUGACAGACCAAUUGUUGUGAAAUUGAUAUGCUAUUGUGUUGAGCGUGAACCCUAUAAAUUGAGUACUUUUUCUAAUUAAUAUGAAUUGAUGAAAUAAAAUAAGGAGAAAUUUAGAGAGAGAUAUUGAUUUUGUAUUUUGUAUUUUUCUUGUUAUUUAGGUUUUUAUAUAUAAUUUAAAAAAUUAAUAUCAUAAUUGAAACUGACCAAAGUGUUCUUCUAAUUAUUUAGAAUUUGUGCAUUGAAAGCUUACCUUGAAAUUUGUGAUUUAAUAUGAUGUAUGCUAGUUUAUAUAUAUAGAGGUAGUUAUUUAUAUUAAUAAUUUAUGUAAAUAAUAUUGUAGAGUGUUAUAGUAUGAUUCCAAAAAAUUAUUAAGUGUUGGAGUUUGAGAAUAUUAUGAUUAAAUUUCAUGAACAUGUGUAUGUUGUACCUUAUGAAUAUCAUUGGGAAUGUUAUGAGAUGGAUGAUGUGAUGUUAUGAGAUGUUAAAGUGUGGACAUGAUAUUCGAUUGUAAAUAAGUGGAUGUGUUUAACACUUUAUGUUACAUUAAUUAUAUCGUGAGCUAUGAAUUAUACAAUAAUCCGACCAGUGUUUAUGCGCAGUGUUAAAGAGAAAGUGUAGGUUCCUAGUUAGGAACCAGUGUUAAAUUGUAGUACAAUUGUGUUAAACAUGUUUGAAACAUGAGUGUGAGGUCGUGAUAUUGUAUAAUUCAUGAGCAGUGCUUAUAAAUGAAAUAUGUGAUGAAUUGUGGAAUAAUAUGUUACCUUGAGAUUAUAAUAUUGUUAUUGAGAUUGAGUAAAAGUGUAAAGUAGAACAGAUGUUGAAUUGUGAGAUACGUGAAAAUAUGUGAUGGUGGAUUGUGAUAUUAUGAGAUGUGAAAUUGUGAGUUUUAGUUAUGAAUAAGUGUGUGAUUAACUCUUGAUGUGACAUUAUUUGUGUUGUAAGCUGUGAAUUGUACAAUAACCCGACCAGUGUUAUCUUGAGAAAAGUGUAAAUGCGCAUUGUUAAAGCGAAAGUGUAGGUUUCCUAUUUAGGAACUAGUGUUAAAGAGAUGGUGUAGGUUCCUAAAUUGUAGCGCAAUAUGUUGUACAUGUCUAAGACACGAGUGUGAGGUCCUGGGUAUUGUAUAAUUCACUAGCAGUGUCUGUGUGCUAAAAUGAUUUUAGGGGUUGGACCUGAAUCAGGAGGGAGAGACCCUGACGGACUCUUCAGAGUGUAGGCCUUGGGAGUCACCGGGUUUGAGUGUUCCUUUAAGCCUAUGCUGAUCCCAUAUGGUUGGAGCAUUCUCGCAAAACAUCGUGACCCUGACUGGUCUCCCUAUGAUCUUACUUAGUGAGAGUGACCUGACAAAUCCAUUGUGUGGUGUGUCUUGUUAUGUACUCCUAAGCGCCCCAGGGUGGUUUUUCACUGACAUGGUAUCACAUUGCAUAUAGGCUUGAGUCUUAGCAUAACUGUCUCAUGCGUUUGCUAAUUGUUCAUUAUGAAAUUGAUGUGUUAUUAUGUCUUGAUCGGAGUGUGUGAUUCUUGUGUAUUGUGAUUGAUGAUUAAAAGGUUUGAUUGAUGAUUGAAAAGUGAAUUUUGAAUGACAAAGUGAUGAAAUAAUGUGAGAUAUGCUAAGUAAAUUGUAUUUGGUUAUUAUAUGUUGUUUUGUUUCUCUCUAGUAGUUAGGAAUGUGAUAACUCACUCCCGGUUUAUUGUUUGUGUUUAGAUCCUGUGAUGAUCUUGAACCUUGUGUUUGGGGGAGCAGAUGACUAGGUGAAGUGCUUAAACGAACCUUAUGCUGAAGGACGUCGGGACACAAUGCUCUGAUAGGAUGUGACAGUGGGGCAUAAGUUUUAUAUUAAUUGCAUAAUGUUAGUCUAUUUUAUUUUAUCUUACUAAUUUAACAAAAUAUUUUUGUAAAUUUUGACGGCCUUAUUUCGAACCAAAUAUAUUUUUUAAUAAGUUUUAAUUGAUAAUAGUGAAGUGAAUGUGAACCUUUUACCCGUGUGAAUUUGGUUACCGAUAUUUUUUAUAUAUUUUAUUUACUUAUAUGUCGGGGUAGAGGGUGUCACACUUACAAGUGUCAAAUUCACAUAAAUCACCUCUACAAGUAGCAUGACAAGUCACAAGUGAUGAACAAACUUUAGUUAAUAUACAAGCAAGGUAAAUUAAACAACAAACAAGAAAUUUAGUCGAGCACAAUAAGAGGAUGAGAUGAGAACAGAUAAAAAUAUGCAAUAUAAUCUCAUUGUUUUGUCAGCACAAAAGCAAGCCAUUAUGCACCUCAAGUUCAGUGUUGGCUUCUUCUUCUUUUGUUGUUUUGUCAAUAGAAGGGAGAAUCGGCCAAAUCCAAAUUUCUUUCUCUAUGCAGAAAACAGCUUCUGACCAUUUUCCUUCUCAGCUUGCCUGUCAAAGGAUGGAUCCGCGUUUUGUUUGCCUAGCAUCUGGCCAAGAGACACCUUCCGUCUCUUCCGGCAUCAUCAACUUCAAAGGAAAGGGUAACUCCAUCAUGCUUUUCCACGCAAUCACCAGCUGAAUUCUCAUGAUGAGAUGAUAAAGCUUUGAUUUCUGCUAGGGCAGCAGCUUCGGCUGCUCUAGCCGCCUCCUUCAUUUUUGGGGCAGCAAUCAACCUGAUUUCAGCAGUUUUUAUCAUAGCUUUUGUCUAUUCAAUCUCUGACAUUGUCUGUUCAAAACUCAGUCGCUGAAGUUCUCUUGUUAUAUCUGAAUGGUUAUCCGAACCGGCAUCUUUUGCCACUAGCAGUUUUAGUUUUGUCUGGUUUAGUUCUUCCUCAAGAGAACAUAUCUUUGAAGAGUUCUGAGCUAACCUCUCACGAGUCUUCUCAAGUGAUAGUCUUUCUUUCUCUAACUUUUUACUGAGAGAUUCAACAGAAGCACGAACAUCAGCAAUAUCACUUGUAGUUCUGUUCAGAUUGAAUUUUGCUGGCUUCAAUUCCAUUAAUAUUAACCCUGAGGAGGAUGAAGGAUAGGGGAUACAACCUUCCUUCGAGUCCUGAACAACAUUACUCACUCGGUUUUCCUUAUCUUUUCUUUCAUCCUCCUCAACAGACGAUAUAUUUUCACACACACUCGUCUGAACAUUCAAAUUUGCUUCAGAUUCUUCUUUUUGUACCUUUGAUUUCAAAUUCUCCACAAGCCUUUUGGUACUUUCCAACUCUUUAAGACAUCAAGUGUUUCCCUUUCUUUCAGGAUCAGGUCUUUCUCCAAUACAACAGCUUGCUCCUCCAGUUUUUCAGGGUCAAGCUCUUCUGCGUGAUGCGGCUGAAGAGAAGAAGAGAAAAAGUUUUACUGUGAACUGUGAAGAUAACUCAACACAAAUGCUUAAAAAGAACUGAAAGUAAACAUUCACACAAAAAUGCGGCACUAUAGUAUCUAUUAUAAGUCAAUACCAAAUUUCACUCUCUUAGCUAUGCAUUAGAAAAUGAUCUAGAGGACAAAACUCAGAUACAAUUUCUUAGAUUUUUUAGUGUUGUUCUCCCAUGAAAAUUAGAGUUUCACUUUGAGAACUUGUAUUGAACUUUAAUGCAGACAUUAAUUAGGCAGAUUAUCGAGAUGAAACUUCAAUUCUAACAAGAGAACAACACAAAAAUCACAUAAAGAACUGCCUUUAAGUUUUGUCCUUAUCCAAAAAGAAAAUUCCUACAAAAAUAUUAGACUACAAAAAUAAACCCAGCCAAGAUAUCAUAUUUAUGACCUUCAUUAUCACCGCAAAGGGUUUUUGGCAGUUAGCAUAGCACCAGAAAACAAACAAAUUAUUAUUAUUUUGAAGCUACAAAUAAAUGAUUAUCGUUUUUUCGAUCCAAGCUACCCAAGUACUCAGCAGAAUAGAAACAACCAAAUAAUGGGUUGUGCGAAGAGAACGUCAACGGCGAAGGUGGCUACGGAAGUGUGUACCGUGGCUUGUUUCCCGAUGGCACCAAGGUUGCUGGAGACCUGGAUCUGAUUUGCCCGAAGGUAUUUUUUAUCAUAGGCGUAGAUGUUUGAUUUCCCUGUUUUGCUAUUUCAAGAAGUGAAUAUUCUUGAAGAUAUUAUGUGGCAUUAUUUCCCUGUUUUGCUGGAGACCAUUAUUCAUUAGUUUGAUGGAUAGAUUGAAAGAGCUUGGCUUUUAGACUGCAGACAUUGAUGAGAAAGGUAUUAGGAGGGAAAAGCCGGAAGAAUACUUCUAUUAUUUAAUACAAAUAAGUAUAUUUAAUUGUUGAAUUUCUGUUAUAUUGGGCUUAGGAAGGAUACUUCUUCUUGUUCUUCUUUUUAAUCGAUUUCACCUUGAUACAUUCUGUCAGCAGCCCAUAAUGAUAACUCCUAUUUCCUUGCUUUUGGAUGAUUGCUGCUAUUUCCACCCGUAAUUUUUACAAAAACAAAAUAGAAAGAUAUUUAUACCUCUAUCACUAAUUUCCUAUUCCUCUUCCCCCAUCCAUUUCCCCACCCAUUCUCACCCCCUUAGCUUCACUCUUUGUCUCCCUUGACCCCAUUUUUGUCACAUUGCCACACCGCAUCAAGAAGUCAGCCACCUUUCCUAAACCAAAUUUGCCAAAGCUCAAAGUCUUGUUGUUUCGAACAAUUGAAAAAAGAGGUAAGAUUUUUCCCUCCAAAAAUCCAAGAUAAUUCUAUUUCAUAAAAUAAUGAAAUUAUAUUUUUUCAAUGUAUUUAAUUUCAAAUACACAACAAAAUUAUAUAUUUGUUACGUAUCUAAAAUUAGGUACACUGGAUAAUGUAAUUUCACAGUAUUUAAUUUUAGAUACACACUCGCGGUUCUUAAAUUUAUUUGUUUGUUUAUUAUUUUAGUUAACUUAAUUGAUUUGAAAUUUAUUAUUUUUUUAAAAUUAAGUCUUAGUGGUAUAUGUUUUAAUUAUGUGAAAAUUUAAUUAGUUAAUUAAUUAUUAAAAUUGUAUUUUAUAAUUUUAGUUACUUAAUCUUUUUAUAACAAUGUAAUUAAAUAUUUAAAUCAACUUAUGGUUAUUAUGAUAGUAGUAGUAUCUAAUUUAAUUGUGUUACAACUUAGAAGAAGUACUUUUAUUCAGUUAAAUAAAAAAGCAUGCGUGUCAAGGGUAAUUUGGAAGCCAUUACAACCUUUGCUUGAUCAAUUUGGAAGCCAUUACAGCAUUUGCUUCCUGAACCUCCAUAAUUACUUCCUGUGCCUUUUUAACCUUCCAGAAAGCUAAUUUUGAAAUGUAAUUUUCUGGAAUAGUCUUUCCGAAAUGUAAUCUGAUAUGCAAAUUUUUACAUUUCAGAAUGGCUUAUCAAGAAUGUAAAUUGCAUUAUGGAAUAAGGUGCAGGAAGAAAUUCCAGAGGUGCAAGAAGCACUUGUCAGCCAUUACACACCAUUAAGAAUGAAAAGAAAAAAAAAUUACAAGAACUAAAAAAAUAUUUAAUCCUUUUAAAAACAGCCGUAUCCUUCUUACUCCUACUUCUAUCGUUAUCAUGAUAUUUGGAAGUUAUAUUUAAUACCAUUUAUAUAAAGUAUUAUGAAGAUUCACAUGAUGAUUUAUAGGAAGAUAAAACAUUACUAUUUAUCAAUGCAUAAAAAUAUAUAAGAUGGAGUCACAAGUGUUUUAUAAUGGAAAUAUUCUUAAAUUUUUUUAAAAUUAUUAUUAUUAUUGCACGUGGGAAUUUGUCUACUUAGUGUUUGCUUGCCAAUGGAACUGAGUUAAGAUAGUGCUAUUCACCAAAUUUGUUUUAUGAACUGCACGGGUCUGACUUGACACUCUUCUCUAUCGUGUACUUUGUUGCAUAUAGGCUAUAUAAAUUAUGUACUAAUAUUUUUUUUUUGUUGGAAAGAAGUUGUUUCGUAAAUUAUUGCAGCUUUUUUUUUUACAAAUUAUAUGAAUCUUUCAUGAGAGAUAAUUAGUUAAAUAAAACCAUGACUGAAUUCAAACUCUGUUUCCAUGACCGAAUUCCAAUUCUGUCUUUCCUGCUAUUGCCAAUUUGCCACGUUAUUCUCUGUCAAGUCAUCGUUAACCACAUUUUUUCUUGUAUGUGUAGGGCUUGCAAACAUGCUUGGUUGCUCUUUUGUCCAGGUGUGGUCUAUCAUCUUUAAUGAAUGUUAUUAAUAAUUUUUGGUCUUAGUAUCCAUUUAUUAAGGUUACCAUAUUUUAUUUUUUAAAGCAAUUCCUCUUUAAUUAUUUGAGAGGCUCAAAUUGGAUCUGGUAGAGUUGACAUGUGUUUUAUGACAAUAACAAAUCCUGUUGGAAUUUGGAUGGGUUGUCUUUUUUAUUUCAUGAUCAACUUGAUUUCUUAAGCAUUAAAAGAAUUAUCUUACCUUUUCAUUUAAAUGUAUAUUUCAUUAAUUAUUUUCAAAAAGUAUUUUGGAUGAUCAGCUUGGUGAGUUCAAGAACCAUUACAAUUUUGACCUUCAUAUUUUAUUUUCAAGAUACUGCUUCUACUCAGCCUAUAUCUUGACCAUUUGGCAAUAGCAUUUUUGGCAACUCCCUACUGGUGGACACACAACUUUUGAUAUUCUAUUAUUGUUAUCUUUGAUUAGGUUAAUUGACUUGGUUCAUCAGGAUCAGUUCUCAAAAUUGAAGGUGAAUGUCAUUUAAUCUUAAUUUUGGUUUAUUUUUAGCAUUGGAUUAAUUUCUAGCUAACUUCUUUAUGGACCUAAUAUUAAUGGACAUGUGAAUUUUUUUUUGCUAUAUUCUAAUACUUGAAUGCAAGCAAGUCUGUAUAGUUAUAAUUAUAAAUAAUAUAAUAACAAAAAAAUAUGAUAGGCCAGGUAGCAGAUUGUAUUCAUUCACUUCUAUGGGUUGGUUUGUCUUUCAUUCAUUGAAAUUAACAAGUCAUCUAUCAAAAGAAAGAACAAUUUUAUUGAGUUUUUUUUCUUUGAAAAUUAGAUGAAACCUAAAUUUCUUUGAAAAUUUAUUGAGUUUUUUUUUUCGUUCAACAAAGCCUGUGGAAGGCCAAUUAGGCCAUGCCCUCACCACCACCAUGAAUAGAGGAUGUCAUUGUUCAACAAAGCCUGUGGACCUGCACUGGAUAUUCAGACUAAGCAUUUCACCCCUUAUGGCUUGGUUCCACCACUCUAAGGGGCUGGUUGGCAGUAUAUCCUCUGCAACUUAUCCCGUGUGAAGCUGUUGCCACCGGUAGGGUAUGUGUUCACCACAUUUUGCUGUUGUCUGGCUUGUUUUUGCUCUAUUCAAUUUUAUUCCUACACAGGUUGCAGAGUUGUUGGGGUCAUUUGGAUAGGUUUACCUGUGAUUUCCACUAUUUGGCAAGGUUUAUUUUAUUUGUAACAAGCUGAGAGCUUAAUAGCCUUAGCUAGAUGGGAGUGUUAGAAUAUUAACAUUAUUACAUUAUUUGUCAUUUUAUAAUGACUCUUAUUUGUGUAUUUUUGCAUUUUAUAACUACAUUGGUAAAUGAUAAAUUGUUAUUUAAUUAGAAGUUUUUUUUCUAUGUAUUGGUAGCAAGAUAGCUUGUUGUAGUUACUCACUAAGUAUUUUGAUAGCUGAAAUUUGACCUAGGUUUUCAAUUUAAUGCCACAAAAAAAUUUCAGAAAAAAAAACACUACAUCAAUUUUGGGAUGAGAAACGAUGUAGAAUCAGGUACAUUCUACAUCGGUUCUGGAGGGAAACGAUGUAGAAUAAAGUACAUUCUACAUCGGUUAUAUUGAGAAACCAAUGUAGAAUGUACUUGAUUCUACAUCGUUUCUCUUCCCAAAACCGAUGUAGAAUGCAUGACUUUCUAAGUUAGUCAUUGAACCGAUGUUGUAGGGUCUCGGGUUUUCAACGACAUCGGCCUACAAACACGCGUCGUAACCGAUGUAGAAGGGUCAUUAGAACCGAUGUAGAAGGGCUUUUUUUUAGUAGUGUCUAUACUAUUCUUCUAUGUUACAUGUGACUAUAUUUGCUUUCCAUAAUUUUAUUUUAAAGAAUUGGUCACUUCACAUAUAUGUAUCAGUGAAGUAUAUCAAUAUAUUGGUAUCAGAUAUAGACGCAUGAAGCAAAUUAAAGCAUCACUACUUUGUAACAAAACACAUCAUCCUUCAAAACAUGACAUGAGGUAUAAAUUAGAUGAUAUUUUUGUAAGUAUUGAAAAGAAAAAAUAAAGUUUCUGAAAUCAAAGAGGCACUAAAAUUUCCACAACAUCCUUCUAUAGGGCCCAAGCUUCCUUCCCUAUUGAUAAAAAACUGGUUGUCAGUGCCAGCCUUUUCUUUUUUUCCAGUUUUCCAUUGAUGGUUAGGAGCUAAUAUUAACCUGUCACUCCUUAAAAUUUCCACCUAAGAUUGAUAAAUAAAUAUAUAGGAGAGUGAAUAAUACAAGCCUUGCAUUCUAUCUCUAAGUUACUAGGUAUAUGGGACAGGUAUGGGUAUUUGGUUUUUAAAAGGUAUAUGGUUCAUCACUAUUUAUAUUAUUACUACAAUAAUCAGGUACACUUUAUUAUGGUACAGGAAAUUUGGUGAUACAAAAAUAAUUUAAAAUAUUUCAUCAAUUUUUUUUUAAAUAUCACAUAUAUAAAAAUCAUUUUAAAGCUAAUAGUAAUAUUUUUUUAAAAAAAAGGCUAAAAGUAUAUUUCUGUUAUAUAAGUUGAUAAUUAUAUUUAUAUAUACUUGAAUAGCUACUAAAUAUUAUAUUAUAUUUAAUUAAAUUCAUUUUUCAUAAAUAAUUUUAAGUAAUGUAAUAAUAUAUAUAUAUAUAUAUAUAUAUAUAUAUAUAUAAGAAAUAAAAAUAUAAACAUCAUGGUAUCAUAAAAAUUUUGAUGAUAAUAUUUUUUAAAAAAAAUUUGUGAAUUAACUAACAGUGAGCCUGAACACACUUCAUAAGUCUUGGUUGUCUGUUUUGAAGGGUCACUUCCUUCUAACCUUUCCGGAAUGGCACAUCCUAUCAUAAAUCAGAGUCAUCGGCUCUCUUUCCAUUGCUUUUUUAUUGCACAUAGACCAGCAUGUGUCCGAGAAAGAACCCAGCUCAGCUAGUGUCGUCACAUGCCUUCUAGAAUAUUCUUUUUUAAAUUGAACAUCUUUUUAUGCAGUUAUUGCUUUAACUUCUAGCUGGUUUUAAUUUCUUGUGUGGCUUCCUCUACCUUUUUCAAAAUGUCCACCAAAAAUAAUUAUUUAAUUUUUAUUUAAGUAAUCUAAAUAAAAAAAUUAAUUUUUAAUAUGUAUGUACUUUAUCUUUUGGCAUAAAAUUCUAAUAUUUCUACACAAUCUCUAGGUGAAUUUUCAUGAUGAGAUAAAACUUUGAUUUCUGUGAGGGCAGCAGCUCCCCAACUCUUUUAGGACAUCAAGUGUUUCCCUUUCUUCCACGAUCAACUCUUUCUCCAAUACAAAGCUUGCUCCUCCAGUUUUUCGGGGUCAUGCUCUUCUGCGUGAUUUGGCUGAAAACAGAAGAGAAAAAGUUUUAAAAGAACUGAAAGUAAACAUUCAAACAAAAGUGCAGCACUAUAGUGUAUAUUAUAUGUCAAUACCUAAUUUCACUCUCUUAGCUCUGCAUUAGAAACUGAUCUUGUCUUUAGUUAUCUAGGGGACAAAACUCAUACAAUUUCUUUGAUUUUUGAGUGUUGUUCUCCAAUAAAAAUUAGAGUUUCACUUUGAGAACUUGUAUUGAACCAUACAAAUAAAAAAGCUUUUAAAGUGAAAAAAAAAACAAAAUGGAUUACCCUAAGAGCAACAAAAUGUGUGUUACUAAGAUCAUUAUAAAAGCUAAUCGAAAGAUGAAAAAUUAUCCAGGAGUUAAAAGUCAAAAGUUUUCAUAUUAUCUUAUUGAAUUAUAAAUGUUUAAUAAAAAAAAUAAAAAUAAAAAAUAAAAAAAUAAAUCACACUAAUUAUUUUUAAAGUUUUGUGAAAUUAAACAAUUUUCCCGUUUUUAUUUAUUCCUAGACUAAUUUUUUUAAUUUUUGAAAAAUAUACACCAAUACUCCUAACUCAUACAUUAUACUAACUAAUUAAUUGUUUUUUUAAUUAUUUAAAAAUAUUACAUCGUAUUUUCCUAUGAGAAAAUUUAUUGUUAAUGUUAAAAAUGCAGGGAUAAUUUAUGUAAUUUCAAAAAAUUUAAGAAGAAAAUAGUGUAAUUUACAAAAAAAAAUUAAAUUAAUACAUCGAUCUUGGAGAAAUAGAAAAAUGUUAAAGAAAAAUGUAAGAUAUAAUAGAGAUAUUGCGACAAGAAAGAAGGAAAAAAGGAGUUAUAUAAAAAAAUGUAUAAUUUUUUUAUAAAGUGUAUUUCAUCUUUGUUUUAAAAGUAUUGAUUAAAAAAUUAAAAAAUAUUUUUUUUAUUAACAAGACUCUAACAAAUAUUUCUGGAGAGAAAUGAUACUUAAGUGGAUUCUAGUAAGCCAGGAUUCUUGUAAGGUUUUGUUUGGUAGUAAAAAGAAAAAAAUAAUUGUGAAGAGAAAAAUAUAAGUUAGAGGAUAAAUAUCUUCAACACUUUAACAAACAAAUAAAAAAAAUCUAUGAAGUUCACUUAAAUCUAUUUUAAUUAUUGAUAAAAAUUUAUACAUGUUGAUUUAAAAUAAAAAUUAUAUUUUAUAGAAAUUAUAUUUUUUAAAUAUAAUAAAAUCUUUUCAUUUGCUCAUAUAUUUUUUUCUCCACUCAAAUUUUCUUUCUCUCAUUUUACUAUUGUUGUUUUGAUAAUCUCACUAAUUAUUUUUUACUUAACUAAUAAUAACAUUUUUGUAUAGAUAAGAUAAGAAGGAUAAUCACAAACAAGAAAUUUCAUGAAAAUAUUUAUCAAAUAAUUACAAUAGAUAUACUACAUAUAAAAAAGAAUUGAAUUGAAUGAUAAUUUUUCAUAUCAUCAUUUCAAAGAAUUACUUUAAUCACUUCCUGUAUCUUAUUAUUAUUAUUAUUAUUGUUGUUAUUAUUAUUAUUUAGUAAAAAAUUACACUUUUUUUUUUGCACACAUCUUUGACUUACAUAUAAGGAUAUUGAAAUCUUGAAUUUAUUAAUGUAAUAUUAAUAUCAUAUUUUUAGGGAUCAAUUAGCAUGUUUCCUUUGUUUCUUUCUCUUUUUAUUUGUUCAACAUUUUUUUUAGCUUAAUAGUUUUUUAAUGUCAUUUUAUUAUUUUCCUCCUAGCAAAAUUUAUUUUAUAUAUAAAAAUUAAUAAAGAUUUAAAUCUUUUACCAUUUUAUUAAAAAAUAUAAAUUACUAUUAAUUAUAUCAAUUCUUUAUAAAAUCAUGUCCUUAUAGAACAACAUAUUUCUAUGAUAACUUUAAUGGUAUGUGUUUGAUUUAGUAUUUGAUUGUAGAAAAUCAAGUUGAAGUAUCCAAACACAUGUGCAAUCUGCUUCAAUACAACUUUUUUGGAAUAAAAAUAUCCAAACACAUAUGCAAACUGCUUUAAUACAACUUGUCUUACAGGGCAUUAAAGCACAGGAACUUACGCACAGUACCCUUGCAGCCAUCCACCACAUAUCACUAAGAAAAAACACACACCUGACACAUCUGCAACUGCUUCAAUACAACUUGUCUUGCAGAGCAUUAAAGCACAGGAACUUAAUUUUAUUAUAUUUUAUUUUCAAAGUUAAUAUGUAAUAUAUAUUCUUGUGACCAACAUGUUAUUGCCUAUAGUAAAAUUAAAUAUGAUGCAAUCCCAAGUAAUUAGUGUAUUGAAAAAAUAAGAUUAGAUCAUUCACAUAUUAUCUGAGUUUAAUUUUUGGAAAAAAUAAUUAUUAGUAAGAUUUUACUUAUUUUUUUAUUGAACUCUAAAUUAGUUAAGAUCAUUUUUUUAUUAUGAAUCAAAGAGUUAAGACAAAAAUAAAAUAUAUCCCCUUAUAUCAAAAUUUUAAAUUUGAGUCUUACAUAUUAAAAAAAGAGAUUUCAUUAAAAUGACUAACUAGAUUUUUCUAUAAAAAUAAGUUAUUAAUAUAUAAAAUUGAUAAAUAUUUUGUUUUAAUGUUAUGAAAAUAAAUCUUUUAAACUCAAAUAUUGGCAAAAUUUUAGUUUAUAUAUAGUACAUGAGUUUAAAUUAUAGAAAUAUUUUUAAAUAUUAAAUAUAAAUAUAAUAAUAGUAUAUUAAAAUUGUUAAAAAUACAGGAUAAUUUGUCAUUCAAACUUUUUGAUCCCUUAUUAAAUCUUAGUAAGGAUUUCUUGUUACAAUAUGUGACAAAAUCUUUUGGGUGUGAGAUCGGUGAGAAUUAGAGAAAAUAAAUGAGGAUAUGAAAAUGAAGGUAUGCCAUUGUUCAACACCAAACGAUAAGGUCAUCUAAUCAGAUAGCGCCACCACCUUAUCUAAUCAGAUAAUGCCACGUGGUGGAUGAAUAGUCUCAGUGUCAUCGAGUUAAAGCCUUUUCUAUGUUGCCCAUGUUGUACUGCAUGUAUAGAUGGAAGCUGGAUCAAUGAUAAGACACAUAUAAGUGACUGAUUGAUGUAUUUCAUUUUUUUUUUUAGUGAAAUACACUUCAAUACUCAAUAUUCAUAAAAUAAAUAAAAUGAAAUACUUUUAUAAAAUGAAUUUCAUCAUUGUUUUAAGAACAUUGAUUAAAAAAUUAAAAGGAUAUUUUUUUUUUAUUAACAAGACUCUAGCAAAUAUUUAGGAGAAGAGAUGAUACUUAAGUGAAUUCUACCGAGCCACUAUUCUUGUAAGGUUUUAUAUGAUAGUACAAAAGAUAAAAAUAAUAGUGGGGAGAAAAAAUAAAUUAGACAAUAAAUAUUUUCAAGACUUUAACAAACAAAUAGAAAAACUUUUUAUUUUUAGAGUUAUAUCUAUUUAUAUUAUAUGUAAAGGAAAUUCAAACUAUUUAUUUUAGAGUUAUAUUUAUUUUAUUUUUAGAGUCAUUGAUACCAAUUUCACGUAAAUCUAUCUCAAAUAUUGAUAAAAAAUUGUAUUUCAUAAUAACAAUUGAUUUAAAAUAAAAAAUAUUUUAUAGAAAUUAUAUUUAUUAAAUAUGAUAAGAGAAAAAAAUAUCUUUUUUUAAAUAUAAAACAUUUUCAUUUGCUCACCAUUUCUUUCUAGACUUAAAUUUUCUUUCUCUCUCAUUUUAUUAUUUUUGUUUGAGAUAAUCUCACUAUUUCUUUUAUUUAACUAACAAUAAUAUUUUUGUAUAGAUAAGAUAUGAAGGACGGAAUUUCAUGAAAAUAUACAUCAAACAAUUACAAUAGACAACAUAUAAAAGUAGAGUUGAAUUGAAUAAUGAAUUUUUACGUCACAAUUUCAAUUGAAUUACUUUAAUCACUUUCUCUAGAGUAUUAUUAUUAUCAUCAUCAUCUGAAUGACAACUUCUUCACAAUAUUCUUUAGUAUAUUAGUAUCUAUUAUUUAUUUAUUUUAUUGAUUUUAUUUAGUAAAAAUCACACACUUUUCUUUCUACAUACAUCCUUGACAUAUAUGUAAGAACAUUAAAAUCUUUAAUUCAUUAAUAUUAUAUUUUUAGGGAUCAAUUAACAUGUAUUUUUUCUUCAAUUCUAUAUCUAAUGGUUAACUAAGACUCAAACUUUUGACCACUUGAUUAAGGAACACAAGACAUUACCACUUGUGUCAACCAUUAGUGGUACAAUACACAAGUUUAAAAACUAGUUAGAUUGGUAAAGGAAUGUUUCUUAUAUUUUCUAAUAAAAAAAAUUAAUUUUUAGUUUCUUAGUCCAUGCUUAAUGGGUGCUUAAGGAUAUUGCUUAGCUUUUUUCAAUCUUGUUUAAAGAUAUGUUUGACAAGAUAUUUUAAAUAACUGUUAACUUUUUUUACUAACUAAAAAAUUUAUUUAACUGUUUGAUAAAUAAGUUUUUUCUGUUUUUUUAACAGUUUUUAAAACCUUAUUUUAAUUAAUAUUUUUUAAAAUGCUAACUUCUAAUAUUUUAUAUUUUCUUCUUAUUUUAUCCUUAAUAUAUAUACUCAAACCUUCAAUUAGUUAGAUACAAGACUAUAUCUUAUUUCACUUAACUAACCUCAUGAAAUUAGAUGCAUGUCUUGUAUCAUUAAUAAAUUUAUUUAAUACAUGUCUUUCAUUUUGUAAUGAUAAAAGAUUUACUGAUAAUAAUGCAUGUCUUUUAUAACAUUAAUUAUUUCAUUUCUAUUAUGACAUUAUUUUCUUACUUUAAUUUCUAAAUAUUUUUUAAUUCAUAAUAAAUAUAAGAAAAUUAAUAUCAAAUAUUACAUUAAAAUUAACAUAAUUUUAAUAAGAAUAAAACAAUUAAUCAUAUUUCUAUUUUAUUCGUUAUGUUUUUAAGCUAACAAAUAAAAUUAACAGAAAAUAUUUGGGUUUAGUUAAAUUAAUUCUUAAAAAUAAUUCAUUUCCUUAUUAUUAAUAUUUUUAGAGAAAUUUUUUCAAAAGAAGAUAUUUUUCUAAACUAAUAUUUUCAAUCCUGUACUAAUACUUAGUUUAUACUAAUUUUUCUUAUGUGUUUGAACAACGAAAGUGCCUAUAUUUGGUCUUUUAGUUUAGAAGGGAGUAAAUUGAAAUACACCCUUAAAUUAGUACUUAUGAUUAUUUGAGUUUCUCUAUCAAAAGAUGCUAUUUGAGUUUUACAUUUUUAUUCUGCCGUCAAGUUCUUUUGAUAUGUUUAAAGUAUAUUUGAGAUACUUUUCGAUUUAAAUUUUUGUAAUGAUUUUGUUAUUAUUAAAUAAAGUCUUGCUAGGGUGAGAAAUUUUGUUUAUAUACAAAUUUCUCUUAGUCUUACUUAACUUUAAAGUUUAAAGUGAUAUGAGAUUUUUUCACAUACUAAAACAAUUUUGAUUAUAAAUUUUGGUUGUUUAAAUAUAUUUUAAUUUGGUACUUAUAUUUUAUCUUUAUAAGUUCAUUUUUCUAAUUUUUAUUUAUGUAAGUGAUGAUUUUUAUAAUUUUGAUUAUGCAAGUUUUCUAAAUUCAUUUUAAUCUUUGUUAGUUUAUAUUUUUUUAAUUUUAAUUCUUUUACUAUUUUAUUUAUAGUCCCAUAAAUCUGUGUUUAUAGGGACCAAAAUUAAAAAUACAAACUUAUGAGAAUUGAAAAUGAGUAAAAUAUUUUAAAGAAAUCAAAAUUAAAAAGACAUAGACUUAUCGAGACCAAAAAUAAAAUAAAAAUACUAAAAUACAUUGAUUAAAAUAUAUUUAAAUCUAUUUGAGUAUAGAGCUAGUAUGGGUGUUUCUCGUAGGAAACUAUUAACUUAUGUCAUGGUUGGAUUGUUAAAACAAGAUUUCUGGAUACAAGAGUUGGUUGGUUGAGGAACAAUUUUCUUAGGUAAUCUUAAAGUGAAAAACAUGAAAUGAGCAAAAUCUAAAAAAUUAGAAUAGAGUAUAAAAGUGUGAGUUUUACUCUAUUUUAUUGUUAGUUAUUUUAUUUUUUGUUCUUUAUUUUCCCAAACAAACAUAACCUUAAAGUAUAUUUGAAAGGAGAGAUGGGAAUAAUAUUAAGAAGAAAAUUUAUAUUUUUUUAAUGAGAUUCACACAUUUUAAACUUUAUUUAAAUUAAAAAAUUAUUAUAUUUUUAUUUUUUUUCAAUUUACAUAAUCUAAAUCAAGCACACCAUUAGAGAAACAAAAACCAUCCAAAAUAAGAAUUAAAUACUUUGAAUAUAAACAAAUUGACUAUCCCAAAAUAAUAAGAUUGAAAAAAAUUAAUUUUUGACUUUAUAAAAUGACUUUUACUUCAAUCUUUUUUAUUAAUGCAAAAUGACAAUGAGAAAUAAGGCAAAAAAAAUAUUAAAAUAAAUUAUUUUUAAAGUUAAAGACUAGAAAAGCUUUUUUUUUUUUAGUUUUAUGGAGUAAAAUGUUUUAGUCAUAUAAUUUUGAGGCUAAUUUAAAAAUUUAUUGAAAUAUAUGGGAGAUUGUUGUGUUUCUUUUGGAAUAUUUUAAAAGAUUUGAAUUUGAAAUUCUUAUACAUAGAUGACAUAUUGAAUACUCCAGAAUUUGUUUUGUCUCAAUUUCAAAAAUCCUUCUAAUAAGAAUUUUCUUCUUGCCGUUUUUUAUUUAAACAGUCUAAUUAUCUCAAUGAGUUUCUCUUCGUUUGUAUUAAAAUUAUACUGCGUCAAUUAGUUUCUUUCUAUUUUUAUUGAAAUAGUAUAAUUACCUCAAUUAUUUUCUUACUAUUUCUAUGUUUUCUUUACCCUAUAAAUUCUGCACUUUACCUUCAUAUUUAGAAAAAUCAAAAACAAAAAAAACAUUUUCUCUUUUUCUCUUUGCAUUCUCCUCUUUUGUUCCUGCCCUUUUCUAUUUUCUAUUCAUAGCAAAGAUUUGUUAAAUUCGGGGAGAUUUUGAUUUUAUGCAAAUAAAUCCUUAAGGAUAAUGUGUUUAAUGAGUGGUGGGUUCAAGAUCUUAUGGAUGUAAAUUAUAAAAAAUAAAAUUAAUGAGUUCAAUUAUAUAAAUAUAAAUAAAAUAAAAUAUAAAAAUAUAAGAUUUUAUUUAUAAAUAUAAUAAAUUUUAAAAAAUAGAAAUACAAGUAUACACCCUCACAUGUUACAGGUCUGCCACUGUAUUUAAGACACAUCUGAUGCUAAUGUCAUUACAGGUCGUUGAACUUUAUGAGUAUAAAAUCAAGUUGAUAUUUGUGUUCAUUAAAUAUUAUAUGAUUUUUUUAAGAUCGUGGUUUAUGAUUAGAUUUUCCUCUAGAACAAUAGAUCUCUAUCAUAAUAUUAUUGCGGUGUAUUUAGUUUCAUGUUUAAUUAUCUAGAAUCAAGUUGAAAUAUAAACAUGACAGACAUGAAUUUAAAUAAAUGUUCAACUAUUUACUUUCACAUUUUUGGAAUUGAUUUUAAUUUUCAAGUUUAGAACUAAUUCUAAGUUAAUUAGGCACAGUACCCUUGCAGCCAUCCACACAUAUCACCAAGAAAAAAACACACACCACUGCUCCCCACAGUUUGGAAACAGAAAUGAAACUAGCUAAUCUAAAGUGAGGUGACAUUUAAAGUGAGAAAGCUGUCCAUCACUAACUUUAAUUAAAAGCAUUUUAGAAAUAUAAUCCAUUUUUAAAAAAAUUAACGGUAGAAAUAUCAUCACUUUUUAAAUCUCUUGAGUCUUUAGUUUGGAGGAGCUAAAUUCAAAAUAGAAAUAUCAAGAAAGCAACAUGUGGGGAACAAAAGUAAACACAAUCCCAAAUAGCAUCCAGGCCAACGCCAUAAGUCACCCACCGCCAUAAUAAUAACAAAUAAAAAAACCGUACUUUUGUCUUGCACAGCAGAACGAGUGAAAGUGAAGAGAGUUAAUUUCAAGCCAAAUCUCAUCACAUCAGUUAACCUUACCAAGAACCAACCCAGUUCGUAGCAACCAAUUCCCUUGCCUUUGUCUUUCUACUCUGAUCAUCUUUUGUUCAUGAGAUAAUGGCUGCAGCAGUGGUAGGUGGUGCCUUUCUCUCUGCUUUCCUUGAUGUGCUUUUCGACAGGCUGGCUUCACCUGACUUUGUUCACUUGAUCCUUGGAAAGAAGCUUAGCAAGAAGUUGCUUCGAAAGUUGGAGACCACUCUCAGAGUGGUUGGAGCUGUGCUUGAUGAUGCCGAGAAGAAACAGAUCACAAACACCAAUGUCAAACACUGGCUCAAUGAUCUCAAAGACGCUGUCUAUGAAGCCGAUGACUUACUCGACCAUGUUUUCACCAAAGCUGCCACCCAAAACAAGGUAAGAGACUUGUUUUCUCGCUUUUCCGAUAGGAAGAUCGUUAGUAAGUUAGAAGACAUAGUUGUCAGACUUGAGUCUCAUUUAAAACUCAAGGAGAGUCUUGAUUUGAAAGAGAGUGCAGUGGAGAACUUGUCAUGGAAAGCUCCAUCAACAUCUCUGGAAGAUGGAUCUCAUAUAUAUGGUAGGGAGAAAGAUAUGGAGGCCAUAAUCAAGUUGUUGUCGGAGGAUAACAGUGACGGUAGUGAUGUGUCUGUGGUUCCUAUUGUGGGCAUGGGUGGGGUUGGAAAAACUACUUUGGCCCAAUUGGUGUACAACGAUGAGAAUUUGAAACAGAUAUUUGAUUUUGAUUUUAAGGCAUGGGUUUGUGUUUCUCAAGAAUUUGAUGUUCUCAAGGUCACAAAAACUAUAAUAGAGGCGGUUACUGGAAAGGCUUGUAAAUUGAAUGAUCUGAAUCUACUUCAUCUUGAAUUGAUGGACAAGCUGAAAGAUAAAAAGUUCUUAAUUGUUUUGGAUGAUGUUUGGACAGAGGAUUAUGUUGAUUGGAGUCUUCUUAAGAAACCAUUCAACCGUGGGAUUAGGAGAAGUAAGAUUCUUCUAACAACCCGCAGUGAAAAAACAGCAUCUAUAGUCCAAACUGUUCACACCUAUCAUCUAAACCAAUUGUCGAAUGAAGAUUGUUGGUCAGUGUUUACGAACCAUGCGUGUCUUUCCUCCGAAUCGAACAAGAACCCAACAACACUAGAAAAAAUUGGAAAGGAGAUUGUUAAAAAGUGCAACGGACUGCCUUUAGCAGCACAGUCGCUCGGAGGCAUGUUGAGAAGAAAGCAUGACAUUGGUGAUUGGAAUAAUAUUCUGAAUAAUGACAUUUGGGAUCUUUCUGAAGGUGAGUGUAAAGUUAUUCCAGCACUGAGACUUAGUUAUCAUUAUCUCCCUCCACAUUUAAAACGGUGCUUUGUUUAUUGUUCGUUGUAUCCACAAGAUUACGAAUUUGAUAAAAAUGAAUUAAUCUUGUUGUGGAUGGCCGAAGAUCUUUUGAAGAAACCAAGAAAUGGUAGGACUUUAGAAGAGGUUGGUCAUGAGUAUUUUGAUGAUUUGAUUUCGAGAUCAUUUUUCCAACGUUCAAGUACAAAUAGAAGUAGUUGGCCUUAUGGCAAAUGUUUUGUGAUGCAUGACCUCAUGCAUGAUCUAGCCAGAUCACUCGGUGGAGAUUUUUAUUUUAGAUCAGAAGAACUUGGGAAAGAAACAAAGAUCAAUACUAAGACUCGUCAUUUGUCAUUUGCCAAAUUCAAUUCUUCAGUCUUGGACAACUUUGAUGUUGUUGAUAGAGCAAAAUUUCUGAGAACUUUCUUGUCUAUUAUCAAUUUUGAAGCUGCUCCAUUCAACAAUGAGGAGGCACAAUGUAUCAUAGUGUCGAAGCUUAUGUACUUGAGAGUUUUAUCAUUUCGAGACUUCCAAAGUAUGGAUUCUUUGCCUGAUUCAAUAGGUAAAUUGAUUCAUCUGCGCUAUUUAGAUCUCUCUCAUUCAAGUAUAGAAACACUGCCAAAGUCAUUGUGUAAUUUAUACAAUCUGCAAACUUUGAAGUUGUAUGGUUGCAUCAAACUGACUAAGUUGCCUAGUGACAUGUCCAAUCUUGUUAACUUGCGUCAUCUUGGUAUUGCUUAUACUCCUAUAAAAGAGAUGCCGAGAGGAAUGAGUAAAUUAAAUCAUUUACAAUAUCUGGAUUUCUUUGUUGUGGGCAAGCACGAAGAGAAUGGAAUCAAAGAAUUGGGAGGACUUUCAAAUCUUCAUGGUCAGCUUGAAAUUAGGAACUUGGAGAAUGUUUCCCAAAGUGAUGAAGCAUUGGAGGCAAGGAUAAUGGAUAAAAAAUACAUUAAUAGUUUACGGUUGGAAUGGUCUGGAUGUAACAACAACAGUACCAACUUCCAACUUGAAAUAGACGUGCUUUGCAAGUUACAGCCUCACUAUAACAUUGAAUUGUUGGAAAUAAAAGGUUAUAAAGGAACCAGAUUUCCAGAUUGGAUGGGAAAUUCUUCCUACUGCAAUAUGACACAUCUAAACUUGAGUGAUUGUGACAACUGUAGUAUGCUUCCUUCACUUGGGCAACUACCUUCUCUCAAUGUCCUUGAUAUUUCAAAAUUGAAUAGGCUGAAGACUAUUGAUGAAGGUUUUUACAAGAAUGAAGAUUGUCGUUCUGGGACGCCCUUUCCCUCCCUUGAAUUUCUGUCCAUUUAUGACAUGCCUUGUUGGGAGGUGUGGAGUUCCUUCAAUUCAGAAGCUUUUCCUGUGCUUAAAAGUCUUAAAAUACGCGACUGCCCCAAACUAGAGGGAAGUUUGCCGAAUCACCUUCCUGCUCUGAAAACAUUUGAUAUUAGUAAUUGUGAGCUGCUUGUCUCUUCUCUCCCAACGGCUCCCGCCAUUCAAAGAUUGGAGAUAAGUAAAAGCAAUAAAGUAGCACUGCAUGCGUUUCCUCUCUUGGUAGAAACUAUAACAGUAGAAGGAAGCCCAAUGGUGGAGUCCAUGAUAGAGGCCAUCACUAACAACCAACCAACUUGUCUCCUGUCUUUAAAAUUAAGGGAUUGCUCGUCAGCCGUGUCAUUUCCGGGUGGUCGUUUACCUGAAUCACUGAAGACUCUGCGUAUCAAGGAUAUUAAAAAACUGGAAUUCCCGACGCAACACAAACAUGAGUUACUGGAAACACUGUCAAUAGAAAGCAGUUGUGAUUCACUCACAUCUCUUCCAUUGGUUACCUUUCCAAAUCUCAGAGAUCUUGAAAUCAGAAACUGUGAAAAUAUGGAAUAUCUUUUGGUUUCAGGGGCAGAGUCAUUUGAGAGUCUGUGUUCUUUGGACAUCAAUCAAUGCCCCAACUUUGUAUCAUUCUGGAGAGAAGGAUUGCCUGCGCCCAACUUGAUUGCUUUCAGCGUUUCGGGCUCUGACAAGUUUUCGUUGCCUGAUGAGAUGAGUAGUCUUCUCCCAAAGUUAGAAUAUCUCGUCAUAUCCAACUGCCCAGAAAUUGAGUGGUUUCCAGAAGGGGGUAUGCCACCUAACCUGAGAACAGUUUGGAUUGACAAUUGUGAGAAACUACUGAGCGGCCUAGCAUGGCCAUCCAUGGGCAUGCUUACUGAUCUCACUGUUUCGGGUCGAUGUGAU